This is an RNA transcript of Mus musculus (house mouse), 1219 nucleotides long. It is a transcript of the gene named RIKEN cDNA 4933401B06 gene, with no coding region annotated. NCBI's taxonomy places the organism in Eukaryota, Metazoa, Chordata, Mammalia, Rodentia, Muridae. The record is from RefSeq and is marked provisional. The transcript has a single exon.
AAGCUGAGGCAGGAAAUGUAGGAUCACCUCUCAAAGUUGGAGCAGGAGAUCACUAGAGCCUCUAAAAUGAACAGGAAGGAUGAAGAGGAGGCCCGGGUCAAGCUGCAGGAGUCAAAGAUACACCAGAGACCAGGGGCUCCCACCCAGACCUCUGUACCAAGCCCAAGCCCAAGCUCAGUAGUAACGCAGAAUGAAGGCCUGCAAGUGAAUGUACAAGACAGUACAAUGCAGUGGUACCAUCAAAUUCAGGAUACUUGUGCCAAAUGUGUGCUGGCCUUUGAGGACCUGACCAGCAGCAAGAACAGUCAGACCAAAAGGAUAAAAAUGGACUUGCAGAAUGCAGCCACCAUCCCAGUGAGUCAGAUCUCUACCAUCUCAGGUUCAAAGCUGAAGGAGGUCUUUGAUGAGAUCCAUAGCCUGCUCUCUGGAAAGCCUGUCCAAUCAGGUGGGCGUUCUGUGUCUGUUGCUCUUAACCCACAGGGGCUGAAAUUUGUCCAGUACAAACUGGCAGAGAAUUUUGUGAAACAAGGAGAGGAGAAAGUGGCCUCUCACCAUGAAGCAGCAUUCCCCAUUGCGGUGGUGGCAUCUGGUAUCUGGAAGCUCCACCCUAAAGUGGGAGGCCUCAUUCUCGCUCAUCUCCACAAGAAGUGUCCGUACUCCGUUCCUUACUACCCAGCUUUCAAGGAAGGGAUGGAUUUGGAGGAAUAUCACCAGAUGCUUGGCUACCAAGUGAUAGAUUCCAAGGUUGAGCAACAGGAGAGCUUUAUAAAACGAAUGUCUGGGAUGAUCCGUUUAUAUGCCGCCAUCAUCCAGCUCCAGUGGCCAUAUGGAAACCGUCAGGAGGCUCAUCCUCAUGGCUUAAAUCACGGCUGGCGCUGGUUGGCACAGAUCUUAAACGUGGAGCCUCUCUCAGAUGUGACAGCCACUCUCCUGUUUGAUUUCUUGGAGGUGUGUGGGAAUGCCCUCCUGAAGCAGUACCAAGUCCAGUUCUGGAAAAUGAUACAACUCAUCAAAGAGGACUACUUGCCCAGAAUUGAAGCCAUCACGAGCCCAGGACAGAUGGGCUCUUUGAUACAUCUGAAGCAGUUCUUGGAUAAAUGUCUGCAACGCAGGAAUAUUCCUGUUCCCAGAGGCUUUCUGACUGCCUCCUUCUGGCAGUCUUAAUGUCCCCCAUUACACUGUGUGGCAGGAGGGGUAACAAUAAAGCAAUAGGCGAUUU